This 468-nucleotide ribosomal RNA is filed under the name uncultured bacterium. RNAcentral describes it as "partial 16S ribosomal RNA". It matches the Rfam family "Bacterial small subunit ribosomal RNA", at positions 28 to 507 of the family's 1533-position model. The record is from RNAcentral.
GACGAACGCUGGCGGCGUGCUUAACACAUGCAAGUCGAACGGAAAGGCCCUGCUUUUGUGGGGUGCUCGAGUGGCGAACGGGUGAGUAACACGUGAGUAACCUGCCCUUGACUUUGGGAUAACUUCAGGAAACUUGGGCUAAUACCGGAUAGGAGCUCCUGCUGCAUGGUGGGGGUUGGAAAGUUUCGGCGGUUGGGGAUGGACUCGCGUCUUAUCAGCUUGUUGGUGGGGUAGUGGCUUACCAAGGCUUUGACGGGUAGCCGGCCUGAGAGGGUGACCGGCCACAUUGGGACUGAGAUACGGCCCAGACUCCUACGGGAGGCAGCAGUGGGGAAUAUUGCACAAUGGGCGGAAGCCUGAUGCAGCAACGCCGCGUGCGGGAUGACGGCCUUCGGGUUGUAAACCGCUUUCGCCUGUGACGAAGCGUGAGUGACGGUAAUGGGUAAAGAAGCACCGGCUAACUACGUG